This 452-nucleotide unclassified non-coding RNA is filed under the name Hevea brasiliensis (rubber tree). Lineage: Eukaryota; Viridiplantae; Streptophyta; Magnoliopsida; Malpighiales; Euphorbiaceae. The record is from RNAcentral.
GGAAUAAACAGAUGCACAUAUGUGAUUAUUCGUAUAGCAGCAUUGACAUCUUCUACUAAUUUCAUCAACAUUAAGCAAGUACAUUUCCAGGAGAAGAAGAACAAGAACAAGAAGAGUGUUACUUAAGUUCUGCCAAAAUGAAUGAUUUAUUCUCAAAUUCGUUCAAGAAAUACACUGACCUUAAGCAGCAAGCAUAUCUUGAUGAUAUAGAGGCUGGGAGGGAAAAUACGAGUCUUGAUAAAUUCUUCGAUGAUGUUGAGAAUGUAAAGGAAGACAUGAAAAGUGUUGAGAAACUGCACAAGAGUUUACAAGAUGCUAAUGAAGAGAGCAAGACUGUGCAUAAUGCCAAGACCAUGAAAAAUCUCCGUUCUAGAAUGGACUCGGAUGUGGAGCAAGUCCUGAAACGUGUCAAAAUCAUCAAGGGAAAGCUUGAAGCUUUAGAACGUUCCAAU